GGAGGGAUAGCUCAGUGGUUAAGAGCACUGACUGCUCUUCCAGAGGUCCUGAGUUCAAUUCCCAGUACCCACA
RNAcentral lists this transfer RNA (73 nucleotides) under Mus musculus (house mouse). It matches the Rfam family "tRNA". Rfam says of the family: Transfer RNA (tRNA) molecules are approximately 80 nucleotides in length. Their secondary structure includes four short double-helical elements and three loops (D, anti-codon, and T loops). Further hydrogen bonds mediate the characteristic L-shaped molecular structure. tRNAs have two regions of fundamental functional importance: the anti-codon, which is responsible for specific mRNA codon recognition, and the 3' end, to which the tRNAs corresponding amino acid is attached (by aminoacyl-tRNA synthetases). tRNAs cope with the degeneracy of the genetic code in two manners: having more than one tRNA (with a specific anti-codon) for a particular amino acid; and 'wobble' base-pairing, i.e. permitting non-standard base-pairing at the 3rd anti-codon position. Lineage: Eukaryota; Metazoa; Chordata; Mammalia; Rodentia; Muridae. The record is from Rfam by way of RNAcentral.